Molecule: ribosomal RNA, 459 nt
Filed under: uncultured bacterium
Lineage: Bacteria
Description: partial 16S ribosomal RNA
Rfam family: Bacterial small subunit ribosomal RNA
Source: RNAcentral
GAUGAACGCUGGCGGCGCGCCUAACACAUGCAAGUCGAACGGCACCCCUCCUCGGAGGGAAGCGAGUGGCGAACGGCUGAGUAACACGUGGAGAACCUGCCCCCUCCCCCGGGAUAGCCGCCCGAAAGGACGGGUAAUACCGGAUACCCCGGGGUGCCGCAUGGCACCCCGGCUAAAGCCCCGACGGGAGGGGAUGGCUCCGCGGCCCAUCAGGUAGACGGCGGGGUGACGGCCCACCGUGCCGACAACGGGUAGCCGGGUUGAGAGACCGACCGGCCAGAUGGGGACUGAGACACGGCCCAGACUCCUACGGGAGGCAGCAGUGGGGAAUCUUGCGCAAUGGGGGGAACCCUGACGCAGCGACGACGCGUGCGGGACGGAGGCCUUCGGGUCGUAAACCGCUUUCAGCAGGGAAGAGUCAAGACUGUACCUGCAGAAGAAGCCCCGGCUAACUACGUG